UUACGACCAUAUCACGUUGAAACACCGGUUCUCGAGCGAUCAUAAAAGUUAAGCAACGUUGAACUUGGUCAGUAUCUAGAUGGGUGACCGCUUGGAAAUUUCAGGAG
Molecule: non-coding RNA, 107 nt
Organism: Acanthosepion pharaonis
Lineage: Eukaryota; Metazoa; Mollusca; Cephalopoda; Sepiida; Sepiidae
Source: the annotation of a GenBank genome assembly